UUCCCUGGGGUGCGCGUGAUUUUUAUCUCGGUGCUGACCUUACAAGCAUAAAAACGGAAGCUGUGCGGUUUCUUGUGUGCAUGCCCGUAUCGGGAAGCCUAAUGGAAAUAUACAUGGCGUCCACCUGGGAGACCAGGUUCUGCACCGAAGAUGAGACACGGCACUCUGGGGUUU
RNAcentral lists this non-coding RNA (174 nucleotides) under uncultured Desulfovibrio sp. RNAcentral's name for it is "6S / SsrS RNA". It matches the Rfam family "6S / SsrS RNA". From Rfam's summary of the family: E. coli 6S RNA was the first non coding RNA to be sequenced, but its function was unknown until recently. It consists of 184 nucleotides that fold into an extended hairpin structure with a large single-stranded internal bulge. The 6S RNA specifically associates with RNA polymerase holoenzyme containing the sigma70 specificity factor. Lineage: Bacteria; Pseudomonadati; Thermodesulfobacteriota; Desulfovibrionia; Desulfovibrionales; Desulfovibrionaceae. The record is from RNAcentral.